This 251-nucleotide ribosomal RNA is filed under the name uncultured bacterium. RNAcentral's name for it is "partial 16S ribosomal RNA". It matches the Rfam family "Bacterial small subunit ribosomal RNA", at positions 524 to 776 of the family's 1533-position model. The record is from RNAcentral.
UACGUAGGGCGCGAGCGUUGUCCGGAAUUAUUGGGCGUAAAGAGCUCGUAGGCGGUCUGUCGCGUCGGCUGUGAAAACUCGGGGCUCAACCCGAGCCUGCAGUCGAUACGGGCAGACUAGAGUGCUGUAGGGAGACUGGAAUUCCUGGUGUAGCGGUGAAAUGCGCAGAUAUCAGGAGGAACACCGGUGGCGAAGGCGGGUCUCUGGGCAGUAACUGACGCUGAGGAGCGAAAGCGUGGGGAGCGAACAGG